RNAcentral lists this ribosomal RNA (230 nucleotides) under Salmonella enterica subsp. enterica serovar Agona. RNAcentral describes it as "partial 23S ribosomal RNA". It matches the Rfam family "Bacterial large subunit ribosomal RNA", at positions 1104 to 1332 of the family's 2925-position model. The record is from RNAcentral. RNAcentral also lists the same sequence under 2 other names. Lineage: Bacteria; Pseudomonadati; Pseudomonadota; Gammaproteobacteria; Enterobacterales; Enterobacteriaceae.
GCUUAGAAGCAGCCAUCAUUUAAAGAAAGCGUAAUAGCUCACUGGUCGAGUCGGCCUGCGCGGAAGAUGUAACGGGGCUAAACCAUGCACCGAAGCUGCGGCAGCGACACUCAGGUGUUGUUGGGUAGGGGAGCGUUCUGUAAGCCUGCGAAGGUGGCCUGUGAGGGUUGCUGGAGGUAUCAGAAGUGCGAAUGCUGACAUAAGUAACGAUAAAGCGGGUGAAAAGCCCG